UGACCAUGGCCGCCACUCACAAUAGAUAAUAAUGCAGUGCUAUCGAUUGUCGAAAAAAGCAAGUCUUUCGCAAUAUUUACAUUCGACUGCAUUGCAGUUGGUCGUCGACAACAAAAGCGUUGACAUGGAACAACUCGUGACUCAGCUGGGAAUGUUAAUAAUUGUUUGCAAAAUUUACAAUAUUAGCACAAUAACUGUUUUCGAAAGGGAGAUUCUCGGCUUUUUGCUGUGACUUUUGAAAUGCCAAGUAGCAAACAACACACAGCCGGUUUUCUGAUUUGUUUGUGUUGUUAUCAAACAAGAGUCUUCGAUUGACAUUUGCGGCAAAGAAACUGAAACUGGUUCCAAACUCAAUAAGUAUUGUAAAUUUAAAUGAUUUAAGUACGGAUAACUGCGCUUGAAAGUAAAUUCUAAAAUAAACUUUGAUUAAAAACAAAAAGUCAACGAUUUCAUUUAGCACUUUUUAUACUCUUUCCUUCUUUCUUGCUCUGUCUUUCUCAGCUUCUUACUGUUUGUUGUUGUCUUUAGUCAUACACACAGACAGACAUCGUGGAGUUGGAGGAGAGCAUGUUUUGGGUUAUAUGUUUACGAUUCCAAAACACGUUCGUUUGUGUUUUUUCAUGUCUCGUUUAACAAACAUUUCUUUCGUUUUGACAAUGUGCCAAUUGACCCAAAUGCUUGGGCAUGAUGAAUCACACAAACAGGAGUAAUUCAGGAUUAUAUUCUGCUUUUAAAGGUUCAGGAAUCAGAAUCCAACUGUUAAUUGAUUCGACAGGUGAAUCAGAGGAACGUUUGCUGUUGUUGAAUCAGCUAGAUUUCUGAGAACACAUGUAUUUAUUAUUG
Molecule: long non-coding RNA, 843 nt
Organism: Drosophila sulfurigaster albostrigata
Lineage: Eukaryota; Metazoa; Arthropoda; Insecta; Diptera; Drosophilidae
Exons: 3
Source: RefSeq, a predicted model, not a curated record